Molecule: long non-coding RNA, 328 nt
Organism: Pteropus alecto (black flying fox)
Lineage: Eukaryota; Metazoa; Chordata; Mammalia; Chiroptera; Pteropodidae
Exons: 4
Source: RefSeq, a predicted model, not a curated record
UUCAAAAGUCCUUAAAACACAGAAGAGUAAAGCAUUUUGGUUAUGAAUUCCACUAUGAGAACAACAAUGUAGAUAAAGAUAAACCAUUACCUGGGGGUCUUCCUGACAUUUGUGAUAGCAUUUUAGAGAAAUGGUUGAAGGAAGGUUUCAUUAGACAUAAACCUGAUCAGUUGACUGUAAAUCAGUAUGAACCUGGGCAUGGAAUUCCUGCUCAUAUUGACACACAUUCUGCUUUUGAAGAUGAGAUCAUUUCUCUCAGUUUGGGGUCAGAGAAGUUUAAAUCCAGUCUUCCCUUGGUGCAAUAACUUACUGAAGCAGCAUUGCCAUC